This 1963-nucleotide long non-coding RNA is filed under the name Calidris pugnax (ruff). RNAcentral describes it as "lncRNA (ENSCPUG00000018292.1)". Lineage: Eukaryota; Metazoa; Chordata; Aves; Charadriiformes; Scolopacidae. The record is from RNAcentral.
UGGGCUGAGAUCAUAAUUUCAGUACUGACCAAACAGAGUGCAGAGGGCGGGCCUGCCUGGUCUUUGAGGACCACCGUAGGCAUGCUCCCACCCCUUGGCUAAAGAAAAUAAUGCCGACUCCACGCAGUUUUCUUUAGCUGUACAGUUAUCAUCUGGGAAAACCUUCCCCCGUUAGACUACAGCAGCUAAAGGAAUAUUUGGAAUACCAAAGGUUUUUGGUUUUUUUUUUUUUUUUUUUUUGCAGUGAUUUCUUUUUGUGAUCUCAGUUCUCUCCUGCCUCUCAAAAAAUUAAUCAGAACUUGAAUCCAUCUGGUCUCAGCGUUGGAAAGCUAUUCUCUAAGCAGAGCAAAGAUGUUUAUUAAAGUUCAAUUCUUCAUCUUCAUUCUAGGGAGCGUGCCUUUCAUAGCACUUGCUGAAGAAGCGAGCUCAGUUCUAGAAGGAGAAGAAAGUGCAACAAUUGAUUUCAGAGACAGAAAUGACACAGAAUUCGAAGAAUUACCAACCCUGUUGCCCACAAGACUACACAGUGUAACAAAUCUCUUGCAGUUUGGACAACUGAUGACCACAGAAAGUGCAUUUGCUCCAACUGAAGACAGUGAAAAUUCUACUGGUUACGAAGCUAACACAGAAAAUAUUGAUGGUGGACUGAGUGGGGAACCAGAGAAAACUGAAAAAGGUGGUCUGGAAACAAUUGCACUGGUUGGAAUAAUUAUUGGAAUCAUAGUUGCAGUUGGAAUCCUUGCAGGAAUAAUCAUCGCUGUUGUAAGGAAGAUGUCAGGCAGGCCCUGAAAAUAGGUGAAACAAGCAACCAUGCCAUUCUAUGCCGGAAAAUACAAGUGCUUCUUAUUUUAUAAGAACUAAAGACUAUUCCUGUAUUGAUGUGAGAGAUGAUCCAUGGAAAACGUGGUUGAAGAAUUUCAGAUCUAUGGGGAUCCCACACAGCUCUAAGGACUCUUCCCGCCCUCGCCCCUCUGUGCCCCAGACUACAGAGUAUGGAACAUUUCAUAGGAUUUUUACUAACCAGGACCUUACUGGAAGAAAGAAAAAAAGAUUAUGCAGUAAGGAAAAAAAAAAAAAAAGCAGCAAUGAGAUUUAAAUCUGAAACCUGAUUUGCAGGUAAAACAUGCUAGCUUUAUUUUUAAACAUUACCAAAGAUUAAUUCGCAUUACGUUUUUUCAUUUCUUUAAAAAACAUAUCCAGAAUCUUCUAAGUCUUUUUGGCUGGUUGAUGCUUGUGGCAUGUUUAUCUACCAAGUGAUGUAUCAAAAAGGAAGUAUUUGUUACAGAGAGAACCAAUUAUUUACAAAUGUAGAAAAUACUAACUAUUGGAAGCUAAAAUCUUUCCACUAUUGAUAUAGAUUUUCUGCUCUUGAUGCUUAUGUUAUUAUGUGGCAAAAUAUGGUAGGCUCAGCUGGAACUGCCCUACCAACGGAAAGCUUGCUCAUCUGACUGCUGCACCAGGAAUUUCCUGUCUUCCCUUGUUGCAGAGACAUGCAGGGAUUGAAAUACACAUCCUGAAUUAAAGGGUGCUUGGAAAAUACCCAGUUUUGAUGGGUCACUUUAGCCAGUUACUCAGCACGCUUCAGAGCUGACAUGUAGAAGCUUCUGAAUUAGUGUAGACAAUUUUUUUUCUUUAUAAUUGUCUAAUUUUCUUGUUGAAUAACGUGUGCAACACUAGAUAGGAAUAUGACAAUGAGAUAUAAUGUAUUUUUGAACUCUUCAACUUUUCUAUGGCAUAUUUAGGGCAGCAGUACCUGAAUUCAGAGAGUUCAGAGCAAAGGCUUUGUCCAAGUGGCUGCAAUGCAUCAUGUCUGCUGUAAAAAUCAUGAUAAUCCAUAUGGUCAAUAAUUGUUAAUCAUGUCAACUUCUCUAGAUUUGCUUUUCUGUUUCUUUCAUGUGCCAUGAACUAUCAUAUCAAUCCAAGCUUUGGAAAUAAAAAUUAUAAUGUAGAUGGUCUUAUUUCA